GACGAACCGUGCGAACGUUGUUCGGAAUCAUUGGGCUUAAAGGGCGCGUAGGCGGGCUAGCAAGUCAGGGGUGAAAGCCCACGGCUCAACCGUGGAAGUGCCUUUGAUACUGCCAGCCUGGAGGGAGGUAGGGGCGUGCGGAACUUCCGGUGGAGCGGUGAAAUGCGUAGAUAUCGGGAGGAACACCGGUGGCGAAGGCGGUUCUCUGGGCCUUACCUGACACUGAGGAGCGAAAGCGUGGGGAGCGAACAGG
Molecule: ribosomal RNA, 253 nt
Filed under: uncultured bacterium
Lineage: Bacteria
Description: partial 16S ribosomal RNA
Rfam family: Bacterial small subunit ribosomal RNA
Source: RNAcentral